RNAcentral lists this small nucleolar RNA (138 nucleotides) under Dichanthelium oligosanthes. RNAcentral describes it as "Small nucleolar RNA Z247". It matches the Rfam family "Small nucleolar RNA Z247". From Rfam's summary of the family: Z247 is a member of the C/D class of snoRNA which contain the C (UGAUGA) and D (CUGA) box motifs. Most of the members of the box C/D family function in directing site-specific 2'-O-methylation of substrate RNAs. Lineage: Eukaryota; Viridiplantae; Streptophyta; Magnoliopsida; Poales; Poaceae. The record is from Rfam by way of RNAcentral.
GACUUCAAGAUGAUGAGUUGGUAUCCUUCAUUAUAGCUGGAUUGGAUAUUGAUUACAAUCCAUUGGUGUCCUCCAUUAUGGCCCACACAGACCAAGUCACGGUUAGUGAUCUAUAAUCUCAAGUCCUUUGCUAUGACA